GGUUAAGCGACUAAGCGUACACGGUGGAUGCCCGGCAGUCAGAGGCGAUGAAGGACGUGCUAAUCUGCGAUAAGCGUCGGUAAGGUGAUAUGAACCGUUAUAACCGGCGAUUUCCGAAUGGGGAAAACCAGUGUGAUUCGUCACACUAUCAUUAACUGAAUCCAUAGGUUAAUGAGGCGAACCGGGGGAACUGAAACAUCUAAGUACCCCGAGGAAAAGAAAUCAACCGAGAUUCCCCCCAGUAGCGGCGAGCGAACGGGGAGGAGCCCAGAGCCUGAAUCAGUGUGUGUGUUAGUGGAAGCGUCUGGAAAGGCGCGCGAUACAGGGUGACAGCCCCGUACACAAAAAUGCACAUGCUGUGAGCUCGAUGAGUAGGGCGGGACACGUGGUAUCCUGUCUGAAUAUGGGGGGACCAUCCUCCAAGGCUAAAUACUCCUGACUGACCGAUAGUGAACCAGUACCGUGAGGGAAAGGCGAAAAGAACCCCGGCGAGGGGAGUGAAAAAGAACCUGAAACCGUGUACGUACAAGCAGUGGGAGCACAGAGCAAUCUGUGUGACUGCGUACCUUUUGUAUAAUGGGUCAGCGACUUAUAUUCUGUAGCAAGGUUAACCGAAUAGGGGAGCCGAAGGGAAACCGAGUCUUAACCGGGCGUUAAGUUGCAGGGUAUAGACCCGAAACCCGGUGAUCUAGCCAUGGGCAGGUUGAAGGUUGGGUAACACUAACUGGAGGACCGAACCGACUAAUGUUGAAAAAUUAGCGGAUGACUUGUGGCUGGGGGUGAAAGGCCAAUCAAACCGGGAGAUAGCUGGUUCUCCCCGAAAGCUAUUUAGGUAGCGCCUCGUGAAUUCAUCUCCGGGGGUAGAGCACUGUUUCGGCAAGGGGGUCAUCCCGACUUACCAACCCGAUGCAAACUGCGAAUACCGGAGAAUGUUAUCACGGGAGACACACGGCGGGUGCUAACGUCCGUCGUGAAGAGGGAAACAACCCAGACCGCCAGCUAAGGUCCCAAAGUCAUGGUUAAGUGGGAAACGAUGUGGGAAGGCCCAGACAGCCAGGAUGUUGGCUUAGAAGCAGCCAUCAUUUAAAGAAAGCGUAAUAGCUCACUGGUCGAGUCGGCCUGCGCGGAAGAUGUAACGGGGCUAAACCAUGCACCGAAGCUGCGGCAGCGACACUGUGUGUUGUUGGGUAGGGGAGCGUUCUGUAAGCCUGUGAAGGUGUGCUGUGAGGCAUGCUGGAGGUAUCAGAAGUGCGAAUGCUGACAUAAGUAACGAUAAAGCGGGUGAAAAGCCCGCUCGCCGGAAGACCAAGGGUUCCUGUCCAACGUUAAUCGGGGCAGGGUGAGUCGACCCCUAAGGCGAGGCCGAAAGGCGUAGUCGAUGGGAAACAGGUUAAUAUUCCUGUACUUGGUGUUACUGCGAAGGGGGGACGGAGAAGGCUAUGUUGGCCGGGCGACGGUUGUCCCGGUUUAAGCGUGUAGGCUGGUUUUCCAGGCAAAUCCGGAAAAUCAAGGCUGAGGCGUGAUGACGAGGCACUACGGUGCUGAAGCAACAAAUGCCCUGCUUCCAGGAAAAGCCUCUAAGCAUCAGGUAACAUCAAAUCGUACCCCAAACCGACACAGGUGGUCAGGUAGAGAAUACCAAGGCGCUUGAGAGAACUCGGGUGAAGGAACUAGGCAAAAUGGUGCCGUAACUUCGGGAGAAGGCACGCUGAUAUGUAGGUGAAGUCCCUCGCGGAUGGAGCUGAAAUCAGUCGAAGAUACCAGCUGGCUGCAACUGUUUAUUAAAAACACAGCACUGUGCAAACACGAAAGUGGACGUAUACGGUGUGACGCCUGCCCGGUGCCGGAAGGUUAAUUGAUGGGGUCAGCGCAAGCGAAGCUCUUGAUCGAAGCCCCGGUAAACGGCGGCCGUAACUAUAACGGUCCUAAGGUAGCGAAAUUCCUUGUCGGGUAAGUUCCGACCUGCACGAAUGGCGUAAUGAUGGCCAGGCUGUCUCCACCCGAGACUCAGUGAAAUUGAACUCGCUGUGAAGAUGCAGUGUACCCGCGGCAAGACGGAAAGACCCCGUGAACCUUUACUAUAGCUUGACACUGAACAUUGAGCCUUGAUGUGUAGGAUAGGUGGGAGGCUUUGAAGUGUGGACGCCAGUCUGCAUGGAGCCGACCUUGAAAUACCACCCUUUAAUGUUUGAUGUUCUAACGUGGACCCGUGAUCCGGGUUGCGGACAGUGUCUGGUGGGUAGUUUGACUGGGGCGGUCUCCUCCUAAAGAGUAACGGAGGAGCACGAAGGUUGGCUAAUCCCCGGUCGGACAUCAGGAGGUUAGUGCAAUGGCAUAAGCCAGCUUGACUGCGAGCGUGACGGCGCGAGCAGGUGCGAAAGCAGGUCAUAGUGAUCCGGUGGUUCUGAAUGGAAGGGCCAUCGCUCAACGGAUAAAAGGUACUCCGGGGAUAACAGGCUGAUACCGCCCAAGAGUUCAUAUCGACGGCGGUGUUUGGCACCUCGAUGUCGGCUCAUCACAUCCUCGGGGCUGAAGUAGGUCCCAAGGGUAUGGCUGUUCGCCAUUUAAAGUGGUACGCGAGCUGGGUUUAGAACGUCGUGAGACAGUUCGGUCCCUAUCUGCCGUGGGCGCUGGAGAACUGAGGGGGCUGCUCCUAGUACGAGAGGACCGGAGUGGACGCAUCACUGGUGUUCGGGUUGUCAUGCCAAUGGCACUGCCCGGUAGCUAAAUGCGGAAGAGAUAAGUGCUGAAAGCAUCUAAGCACGAAACUUGCCCCGAGAUGAGUUCUCCCUGACCCUUUAAGGGUCCUGAAGGAACGUUGAAGACGACGACGUUGAUAGGCCGGGUGUGUAAGCGCAGCGAUGCGUUGAGCUAACCGGUACUAAUGAACCGUGAGGCUUAACCUU
Molecule: ribosomal RNA, 2906 nt
Filed under: Escherichia coli
Lineage: Bacteria; Pseudomonadati; Pseudomonadota; Gammaproteobacteria; Enterobacterales; Enterobacteriaceae
Description: 23S ribosomal RNA
Rfam family: Bacterial large subunit ribosomal RNA
Source: RNAcentral